CUUCGGGAAACCGGAGCUAAUACCGGAUAAUAUUUUGAACCGCAUGGUUCAAAAGUGAAAGACGGUCUUGCUGUCACUUAUAGAUGGAUCCGCGCUGCAUUAGCUAGUUGGUAAGGUAACGGCUUACCAAGGCAACGAUGCAUAGCCGACCUGAGAGGGUGAUCGGCCACACUUGAACUGAGACACGGUCCAG
Molecule: ribosomal RNA, 193 nt
Filed under: uncultured Staphylococcus sp.
Lineage: Bacteria; Bacillati; Bacillota; Bacilli; Caryophanales; Staphylococcaceae
Description: partial 16S ribosomal RNA
Rfam family: Bacterial small subunit ribosomal RNA
Source: RNAcentral